UCCAGGGUAGCCUAGUGGUAUCUGCCCGGUAAGCGGAACACUGUGGGUUCGAUUCCCAUCCCUGGAC
Molecule: non-coding RNA, 67 nt
Organism: Cordylochernes scorpioides
Lineage: Eukaryota; Metazoa; Arthropoda; Arachnida; Pseudoscorpiones; Chernetidae
Source: the annotation of a GenBank genome assembly